This 73-nucleotide transfer RNA is filed under the name Ovis aries (sheep). It matches the Rfam family "tRNA". From Rfam's summary of the family: Transfer RNA (tRNA) molecules are approximately 80 nucleotides in length. Their secondary structure includes four short double-helical elements and three loops (D, anti-codon, and T loops). Lineage: Eukaryota; Metazoa; Chordata; Mammalia; Artiodactyla; Bovidae. The record is from Rfam by way of RNAcentral.
CCCCUGGUGGUCCAGUGGUGCGGACUCUGCACUUCCAUUGCAGAGGGCUUGGGUUUGAUUCCUGAUUGGGUAA